This 638-nucleotide ribosomal RNA is filed under the name Pseudarthrobacter sp. RNAcentral describes it as "bacterial SSU rRNA". It matches the Rfam family "Bacterial small subunit ribosomal RNA", at positions 425 to 1073 of the family's 1533-position model. The record is from RNAcentral. Lineage: Bacteria; Bacillati; Actinomycetota; Actinomycetes; Micrococcales; Micrococcaceae.
GUAAACCUCUUUCAGUAGGGAAGAAGCGAAAAGUGACGGUACCUGCAGAAGAAGCGCCGGCUAACUACGUGCCAGCAGCCGCGGUAAUACGUAGGGCGCAAGCGUUAUCCGGAAUUAUUGGGCGUAAAGAGCUCGUAGGCGGUUUGUCGCGUCUGCCGUGAAAGUCCGGGGCUCAACUCCGGAUCUGCGGUGGGUACGGGCAGACUAGAGUGAUGUAGGGGAGACUGGAAUUCCUGGUGUAGCGGUGAAAUGCGCAGAUAUCAGGAGGAACACCGAUGGCGAAGGCAGGUCUCUGGGCAUUAACUGACGCUGAGGAGCGAAAGCAUGGGGAGCGAACAGGAUUAGAUACCCUGGUAGUCCAUGCCGUAAACGUUGGGCACUAGGUGUGGGGGACAUUCCACGUUUUCCGCGCCGUAGCUAACGCAUUAAGUGCCCCGCCUGGGGAGUACGGCCGCAAGGCUAAAACUCAAAGGAAUUGACGGGGGCCCGCACAAGCGGCGGAGCAUGCGGAUUAAUUCGAUGCAACGCGAAGAACCUUACCAAGGCUUGACAUGAACCGGAAACGCCUGGAGACAGGUGCCCCGCUUGCGGUCGGUUUACUWGGUGGUGCAUGGUGUCGUCAGCUCGUGUCGUGAGAG